UUGAUGACCUCUCCAGCAACAUGGAGAAUGUUGCUAAAGCAAAGGGAAAUCUUGAAAAGAUGUGCCGUACUCUAGAGGACCAACUUAGCGAAC
This is a long non-coding RNA of Etheostoma spectabile (orangethroat darter), 93 nucleotides long. RefSeq lists it as uncharacterized. NCBI's taxonomy places the organism in Eukaryota, Metazoa, Chordata, Actinopteri, Perciformes, Percidae. The transcript has 2 exons. The record is from RefSeq and is a predicted model, not a curated record.